UACGUAGGGUGCGAGCGUUGUCCGGAAUUCUUGGGCGUAAAGAGCUCGUAGGCGGUUUGUCACGUCUGCUGUGAAAUCCCGAGGCUCAACCUCGGGCCUGCAGUGGGUACGGGCAGACUGGAGUGCGGUAGGGGAGAAUGGAAUUCCUGGUGUAGCGGUGGAAUGCGCAGAUAUCAGGAGGAACACCGAUGGCGAAGGCAGUUCUCUGGGCCGUAACUGACGCUGAGGAGCGAAAGCGUGGGGAGCGAACAGG
Molecule: ribosomal RNA, 253 nt
Filed under: uncultured bacterium
Lineage: Bacteria
Description: partial 16S ribosomal RNA
Rfam family: Bacterial small subunit ribosomal RNA
Source: RNAcentral